RNAcentral lists this long non-coding RNA (402 nucleotides) under Nicotiana benthamiana. RNAcentral describes it as "long non-coding RNA (NBEN_LNC006892)". The record is from RNAcentral. Lineage: Eukaryota; Viridiplantae; Streptophyta; Magnoliopsida; Solanales; Solanaceae.
CAAUUGUAUGAUGCAGCUGAUACUACUAAAAAACUGCAAAGAGUGGACAAGGUUCCUAAUAGGAGGCAACUCGUGACAAACUAAAAAUAUUGCGAACUAAAUUCCAAUACUGAGAACAAAUACAGGCACAAAAAUAUAAAGAUCACCAAUACAUGAAAGUUAAACUUCCAAAACAAAUUCUGGUUACGCCCAAUAAAAAUCAAGCACACAAGUGAGAAAAAACAAAGUGCCUACUCCAUCCAUACAACUUCAGAAAUCCUAUUUUGACCGGGCAUAUCAGACAACUACGUCCUCAAUCCCAAAUGAAUUGGGUCAGUCAUGUGAGCCAUCUGUAUACCUUUUUCACUAUAUUCAGAGCCUUUCUAGUCAAAUAUUAAAAUAUCCUUUGUUUGUAGAAAACUU